This 495-nucleotide ribosomal RNA is filed under the name uncultured bacterium. RNAcentral describes it as "partial 16S ribosomal RNA". It matches the Rfam family "Bacterial small subunit ribosomal RNA", at positions 28 to 507 of the family's 1533-position model. The record is from RNAcentral.
GACGAACGCUGGCGGCGUGCCUAAUACAUGCAAGUAGAACGCUGAAGGAGGAGCUUGCUUCUCUGGAUGAGUUGCGAACGGGUGAGUAACGCGUAGGUAACCUGCCUGGUAGUGGGGGAUAACUAUUGGAAACGAUAGCUAAUACCGCAUAAUAGCAGUUGUUGCAUGAUAACUGUUUGAAAGGUGCAAUUGCACCGCUACCAGAUGGACCUGCGUUGUAUUAGCUAGUUGGUGGGGUAACGGCUCACCAAGGCGACGAUACAUAGCCGACCUGAGAGGGUGAUCGGCCACACUGGGACUGAGACACGGCCCAGACUCCUACGGGAGGCAGCAGUAGGGAAUCUUCGGCAAUGGACGGAAGUCUGACCGAGCAACGCCGCGUGAGUGAAGAAGGUUGUCGAAUCGUAAAGCUCUGUUGUAAGAGAAGAACGAGUGUGAGAGUGGAAAGUUCACACUGUGACGGUAUCUUACCAGAAAGGGACGGCUAACUACGUG